GGCUCGGUACCUUAAUUGGUAAAGCAUUCGUAUAGCAUACAAAAGUCCUGGGUUUGAAUCCCAGAUGAGCAU
This 72-nucleotide transfer RNA is filed under the name Aedes aegypti (yellow fever mosquito). RNAcentral's name for it is "partial tRNA-OTHER". The record is from RNAcentral. Lineage: Eukaryota; Metazoa; Arthropoda; Insecta; Diptera; Culicidae.